RNAcentral lists this transfer RNA (77 nucleotides) under bacterium. Its description in RNAcentral is "tRNA-Arg". It matches the Rfam family "tRNA". Rfam says of the family: Transfer RNA (tRNA) molecules are approximately 80 nucleotides in length. Their secondary structure includes four short double-helical elements and three loops (D, anti-codon, and T loops). RNAcentral also lists the same sequence under 2 other names. The record is from RNAcentral.
GCGCCCAUAGCUCAGCUGGAUAGAGCGUCGGAUUGCGGGUCCGAAGGUCGCACGUUCGAAUCGUGCUGGGCGCGCCA